This 500-nucleotide ribosomal RNA is filed under the name uncultured bacterium. RNAcentral describes it as "bacterial SSU rRNA". It matches the Rfam family "Bacterial small subunit ribosomal RNA", at positions 840 to 1345 of the family's 1533-position model. The record is from RNAcentral.
UCAGUGCUGCAGUUAACGCAAUAAGUUCUCCGCCUGGGGAGUAUGCACGCAAGUGUGAAACUCAAAGGAAUUGACGGGGGCCCGCACAAGCGGUGGAGUAUGUGGUUUAAUUCGAAGCAACGCGAAGAACCUUACCAGGCCUUGACAUGGAUGCAAAGGCUCUAGAGAUAGAGAGAUAAUUAUGGAUCACACAGGUGGUGCAUGGUUGUCGUCAGCUCGUGUCGUGAGAUGUUGGGUUAAGUCCCGCAACGAGCGCAACCCUUGUCGCAUGUUACCAGCAUCAAGUUGGGGACUCAUGCGAGACUGCCGGUGACAAACCGGAGGAAGGUGGGGAUGACGUCAAAUCAUCAUGCCCCUUAUGGCCUGGGCUACACACGUACUACAAUGGCGACCACAAAGAGCAGCGACACAGUGAUGUGAAGCGAAUCUCAUAAAGGUCGUCUCAGUUCGGAUUGAAGUCUGCAACUCGACUUCAUGAAGUCGGAAUCGCUAGUAAUCGC